RNAcentral lists this ribosomal RNA (679 nucleotides) under Bacillus zhangzhouensis. RNAcentral's name for it is "bacterial SSU rRNA". It matches the Rfam family "Bacterial small subunit ribosomal RNA", at positions 201 to 873 of the family's 1533-position model. The record is from RNAcentral. Lineage: Bacteria; Bacillati; Bacillota; Bacilli; Caryophanales; Bacillaceae.
GUUUCGGCUGUCACUUACAGAUGGACCCGCGGCGCAUUAGCUAGUUGGUGGGGUAAUGGCUCACCAAGGCGACGAUGCGUAGCCGACCUGAGAGGGUGAUCGGCCACACUGGGACUGAGACACGGCCCAGACUCCUACGGGAGGCAGCAGUAGGGAAUCUUCCGCAAUGGACGAAAGUCUGACGGAGCAACGCCGCGUGAGUGAUGAAGGUUUUCGGAUCGUAAAACUCUGUUGUUAGGGAAGAACAAGUGCGAGAGUAACUACUCGCACCUUGACGGUACCUAACCAGAAAGCCACGGCUAACUACGUGCCAGCAGCCGCGGUAAUACGUAGGUGGCAAGCGUUGUCCGGAAUUAUUGGGCGUAAAGSGCUCGCAGGCGGUUUCUUAAGUCUGAUGUGAAAGCCCCCGGCUCAACCGGGGAGGGUCAUUGGAAACUGGGAAACUUGAGUGCAGAAGAGGAGAGUGGAAUUCCACGUGUAGCGGUGAAAUGCGUAGAGAUGUGGAGGAACACCAGUGGCGAAGGCGACUCUCUGGUCUGUAACUGACGCUGAGGAGCGAAAGCGUGGGGAGCGAACAGGAUUAGAUACCCUGGUAGUCCACGCCGUAAACGAUGAGUACUAAGUGUUAGGGGGUUUCCGCCCCUUAGUGCUGCAGCUAACGCAUUAAGCACUCCCGCCG